UAAGGUAGCGAAAUUCCUUGUCGGGCAAGUUCCGACCUGCACGAAUGGCAUAACGAUGGCCACACUGUCUCCUCCUGAGACUCAGUGAAGUUGAAGUGUUUGUGAUGAUGCAAUCUCCCCGCGGCUAGACGGAAAGACCCCAUGAACCUUUACUGUAGCUUUGCAUUGGACUUUGAACCGAUCUGUGUAGGAUAGGCGGGAGCCUGUGAAACCACAACGCCAGUUGUGGCGGAGGCGUCCUUGAAAUACCGCCCUGAUUUGUUUGAGGUUCUAACCUGGGACAGUCAUCCUGUCCGGGGACCGUGCAUGGUAGGCAGUUUGACUGGGGCGGUCUCCUCCUAAAGGGUAACGGAGGAGUGCGAAGGUACGCUAGGUACGGUCGGAAAUCGUGCUGAUAGUGCAAUGGCAAAAGCGUGCUUGACUGCGAGACCCACAAGUCGAGCAGAUACGAAAGUAGGUCAUAGUGAUCCGGUGGCUCUGUAUGGAAGGGCCAUCGCUCAACGGAUAAAAGGUACUCCGGGGAUAACAGGCUGAUACCGCCCAAGAGUUCAUAUCGACGGCGGUGUUUGGCACCUCGAUGUCGGCUCAUCUCAUCCUGGGGCUGUAGCCGGUCCCAAGGGUAUGGCUGUUCGCCAUUUAAAGAGGUACGUGAGCUGGGUUUAAAACGUCGUGAGACAGUUUUGUCCCUAUCUGCCGUGGGCGUUGGAAGAUUGACGGGGGCUGCUCCUAGUACGAGAGGACCGGAGUGGACUCACCUCUGGUGUACCGGUUGUCACGCCAGUGGCAUCGCCGGGUAGCUAUGUGGGGAAGAGAUAACCGCUGAAAGCAUCUAAGCGGGAAACUUGCCUGAAGAUAAGUCUUCCUGGAGGCUAGACCUCCCUAAAGAGUCGUUCGAGACCAGGACGUUGAUAGGAUGGGUGUGUAAGUGCUGUGAGGCACUCAGCUAACCAUUACUAAUUGCUCGUGAAGCUUGAUCCU
This 978-nucleotide ribosomal RNA is filed under the name human gut metagenome. RNAcentral's name for it is "bacterial LSU rRNA". It matches the Rfam family "Bacterial large subunit ribosomal RNA", at positions 1952 to 2925 of the family's 2925-position model. The record is from RNAcentral.